Molecule: unclassified non-coding RNA, 356 nt
Filed under: soil metagenome
Description: partial contains 5.8S ribosomal RNA, internal transcribed spacer 2, and large subunit ribosomal RNA
Rfam family: 5.8S ribosomal RNA (bases 1-120)
Source: RNAcentral
GAUGAAGAACGCAGCGAAAUGCGAUAAGUAAUGUGAAUUGCAGAAUUCAGUGAAUCAUCGAAUCUUUGAACGCACAUUGCGCCCGCUGGUAUUCCGGCGGGCAUGCCUGUUCGAGCGUCAUUUCAACCCUCAAGCUCUCCGGAGUUUGGUGUUGGGGCGCCUGGGGCUUUUCGACCUCAGGGCCCUCAAGUCCAUCGGCGGGACCGCCAGGACACUGAGCGCAGUAGUAUUAUUUCGCUCGGUAGGAUCUUCCACGGCGGGUCGAUCUGGCCGCUAAACCCCCCAAUUCUCACCAAAGGUUGACCUCGGAUCAGGUAGGAAUACCCGCUGAACUUAAGCAUAUCAAUAAGCGGAGG